GAUGAACGCUAGCGGCAGGCUUAAUACAUGCAAGUCGAGGGGCAGCAGUUUUGUAGCAAUACAGAAGCUGGAGACCGGCAAACGGGUGCGGAACACGUACGCAACCUUCCUUUAACUGGGAGAUAGCCCACCGAAAGGUGGAUUAAUAUCACAUAAUAUAACUGAAUGGCAUCAUUUAGAUAUUAAAGCUCUGGCGGUUAAAGAUGGGCGUGCGUCUGAUUAGGUAGUUGGCGGUGUAACGGACCACCAAGACUUCGAUCAGUAGCUGAUGUGAGAGCAUGGUCAGCCACACGGGCACUGGGACACGGGCCCGACUCCUACGGGAGGCAGCAGUAAGGAAUAGUGGUCAAUGGACGCAAGUCUGAACCAGCCAUGCCGCGUGGAGGAUGAAGGCCCUCUGGGUUGUAAACUUCUUUUCUUUGGGACGAAACCCCUGUUUCUACGGGGACUGACGGUACCAGAGGAAUAAGCACCGGCUAACUCCGUGCCAGCCGCCGCCGUAA
This 503-nucleotide ribosomal RNA is filed under the name uncultured bacterium. RNAcentral describes it as "partial 16S ribosomal RNA". It matches the Rfam family "Bacterial small subunit ribosomal RNA", at positions 28 to 523 of the family's 1533-position model. The record is from RNAcentral.